CAUAGCGUAAUGAAGCGAACCGGGGGAACUGAAACAUCUAAGUACCCCGAGGAAAAGAAAUCAACCGAGAUUCCCCCAGUAGCGGCGAGCGAACGGGGAGCAGCCCAGAGUCUGAAUCAGCUUGUGUGUUAGUGGAACGGUCUGGAAAGUCCGACGGUACAGGGUGAUAGUCCCGUACACCAAAAUGCACAGGUUGUGAACUCGAAGAGUAGGGCGGGACACGUGGUAUCCUGUCUGAAUAUGGGGGGACCAUCCUCCAAGGCUAAAUACUCCUGACUGACCGAUAGUGAACCAGUACCGUGAGGGAAAGGCGAAAAGAACCCCGGCGAGGGGAGUGAAAAAGAACCUGAAACCGUGUACGUACAAGCAGUGGGAGCCUCUUUAUGGGGUGACUGCGUACCUUUUGUAUAAUGGGUCAGCGACUUAUAUUCUGUAGCAAGGUUAACCGUAUAGGGGAGCCGAAGGGAAACCGAGUCUUAACUGGGCGUUAAGUUGCAGGGUAUAGACCCGAAACCCGGUGAUCUAGCCAUGGGCAGGUUGAAGGUUGGGUAACACUAACUGGAGGACCGAACCGACUAAUGUUGAAAAAUUAGCGGAUGACUUGUGGCUGGGGGUGAAAGGCCAAUCAAACCGGGAGAUAGCUGGUUCUCCCCGAAAGCUAUUUAGGUAGCGCCUCGUGAACUCAUCUUCGGGGGUAGAGCACUGUUUCGGCUAGGGGGUCAUCCCGACUUACCAACCCGAUGCAAACUGCGAAUACCGAAGAAUGUUAUCACGGGAGACACACGGCGGGUGCUAACGUCCGUCGUGAAGAGGGAAACAACCCAGACCGCCAGCUAAGGUCCCAAAGUCAUGGUUAAGUGGGAAACGAUGUGGGAAGGCACAGACAGCCAGGAUGUUGGCUUAGAAGCAGCCAUCAUUUAAAGAAAGCGUAAUAGCUCACUGGUCGAGUCGGCCUGCGCGGAAGAUGUAACGGGGCUAAACCAUGCACCGAAGCUGCGGCAGCGACACUAUGUGUUGUUGGGUAGGGGAGCGUUCUGUAAGCCGUUGAAGGUGUAUCGUGAGGUAUGCUGGAGGUAUCAGAAGUGCGAAUGCUGACAUAAGUAACGAUAAUGCGGGUGAAAAACCCGCACGCCGGAAGACCAAGGGUUCCUGUCCAACGUUAAUCGGGGCAGGGUGAGUCGACCCCUAAGGCGAGGCCGAAAGGCGUAGUCGAUGGGAAACAGGUUAAUAUUCCUGUACUUGGUGUUACUGCGAAGGGGGGACGGAGAAGGCUAUGUUAGCCGGGCGACGGUUGUCCCGGUUUAAGCAUGUAGGCGGAGGUUCCAGGUAAAUCCGGUACCUUUUUAACGCUGAGGUGUGAUGACGAGGCACUACGGUGCUGAAGUAACAAAUGCCCUGCUUCCAGGAAAAGCCUCUAAGCAUCAGGUAACACGAAAUCGUACCCCAAACCGACACAGGUGGUCAGGUAGAGAAUACCAAGGCGCUUGAGAGAACUCGGGUGAAGGAACUAGGCAAAAUGGUGCCGUAACUUCGGGAGAAGGCACGCUGAUAUGUAGGUGAAGUGAUUUACUCAUGGAGCUGAAAUCAGUCGAAGAUACCAGCUGGCUGCAACUGUUUAUUAAAAACACAGCACUGUGCAAACACGAAAGUGGACGUAUACGGUGUGACGCCUGCCCGGUGCCGGAAGGUUAAUUGAUGGGGUUAUCCGUAAGGAGAAGCUCUUGAUCGAAGCCCCGGUAAACGGCGGCCGUAACUAUAACGGUCCUAAGGUAGCGAAAUUCCUUGUCGGGUAAGUUCCGACCUGCACGAAUGGCGUAAUGAUGGCCAGGCUGUCUCCACCCGAGACUCAGUGAAAUUGAACUCGCUGUGAAGAUGCAGUGUACCCGCGGCAAGACGGAAAGACCCCGUGAACCUUUACUAUAGCUUGACACUGAACACUGGUCCUUGAUGUGUAGGAUAGGUGGGAGGCUUUGAAGUGUGGACGCCAGUCUGCAUGGAGCCAUCCUUGAAAUACCACCCUUUAAUGGCUGGUGUUCUAACGUGGACCCGUAAUCCGGGUUGCGGACAGUGUCUGGUGGGUAGUUUGACUGGGGCGGUCUCCUCCUAAAGAGUAACGGAGGAGCACGAAGGUUAGCUAAUCCUGGUCGGACAUCAGGAGGUUAGUGCAAAGGCAUAAGCUAGCUUGACUGCGAGAGUGACGGCUCGAGCAGGUGCGAAAGCAGGUCUUAGUGAUCCGGUGGUUCUGAAUGGAAGGGCCAUCGCUCAACGGAUAAAAGGUACUCCGGGGAUAACAGGCUGAUACCGCCCAAGAGUUCAUAUCGACGGCGGUGUUUGGCACCUCGAUGUCGGCUCAUCACAUCCUGGGGCUGAAGUAGGUCCCAAGGGUAUGGCUGUUCGCCAUUUAAAGUGGUACGCGAGCUGGGUUUAGAACGUCGUGAGACAGUUCGGUCCCUAUCUGCCGUGGGCGCUGGAGAAUUGAGGGGGGCUGCUCCUAGUACGAGAGGACCGGAGUGGACGCAUCACUGGUGUUCGGGUUGUCAUGCCAAUGGCAUUGCCCGGUAGCUAAAUGCGGAAGAGAUAAGUGCUGAAAGCAUCUAAGCACGAAACUUGCCCCG
RNAcentral lists this ribosomal RNA (2615 nucleotides) under Citrobacter freundii. RNAcentral's name for it is "partial 23S ribosomal RNA". It matches the Rfam family "Bacterial large subunit ribosomal RNA". The record is from RNAcentral. Lineage: Bacteria; Pseudomonadati; Pseudomonadota; Gammaproteobacteria; Enterobacterales; Enterobacteriaceae.